RNAcentral lists this ribosomal RNA (468 nucleotides) under uncultured bacterium. RNAcentral describes it as "partial 16S ribosomal RNA". It matches the Rfam family "Bacterial small subunit ribosomal RNA", at positions 28 to 507 of the family's 1533-position model. The record is from RNAcentral.
GACGAACGCUGGCGGCGCGCCUAACACAUGCAAGUCGAACGGAGCUGAGAGAAGCUUGCUUUUCUUAGCUUAGUGGCGAACGGGUGAGUAACGCGUGAGUAACCUGCCCUGGAGUGGGGGACAACAGUUGGAAACGACUGCUAAUACCGCAUAAGCCCACGAUCCGGCAUCGGAUUGAGGGAAGAGGAUUUAUUCGCUUCAGGAUGGACUCGCGUCCAAUUAGCUAGUUGGUGAGGUAACGGCCCACCAAGGCGACGAUUGGUAGCCGGACUGAGAGGUUGAACGGCCACAUUGGGACUGAGACACGGCCCAGACUCCUACGGGAGGCAGCAGUGGGGGAUAUUGCACAAUGGGGGAAACCCUGAUGCAGCGACGCCGCGUGGAGGAAGAAGGUUUUCGGAUUGUAAACUCCUGUCGUUAGGGACGAUAAUGACGGUACCUAACAAGAAAGCACCGGCUAACUACGUG